AUCAGCAUGGCAUAGUGGUUUUGAGUGUUAGACUACAACUCUGGAGACCAUGGUUUGAUUCCAGCUUGGCCAUG
Molecule: non-coding RNA, 74 nt
Organism: Phrynosoma platyrhinos (Desert horned lizard)
Lineage: Eukaryota; Metazoa; Chordata; Lepidosauria; Squamata; Phrynosomatidae
Source: the annotation of a GenBank genome assembly